CCGAAUAUGAGCGCAGCCUGAUCAGCGACGCCGCGUGUGUGAGAAGGCCUGCGGGUUGUAAGCACUUUCGAUGGGAACGAAAGGUGCCGGGCUAAUACCCCGGGAAGCUGACGUUACUCAAUGAACAAGCACCGGCUAACUCUGUGCCAGCAGACGCGGUAAUAAUG
Molecule: ribosomal RNA, 167 nt
Filed under: uncultured bacterium
Lineage: Bacteria
Description: partial 16S ribosomal RNA
Rfam family: Bacterial small subunit ribosomal RNA
Source: RNAcentral